This 460-nucleotide ribosomal RNA is filed under the name uncultured bacterium. RNAcentral's name for it is "partial 16S ribosomal RNA". It matches the Rfam family "Bacterial small subunit ribosomal RNA", at positions 338 to 795 of the family's 1533-position model. The record is from RNAcentral.
CCUACGGGAGGCUGCAGUGAGGAAUUUUGGUCAAUGGACGAGAGUCUGAACCAGCCAAGUAGCGUGAAGGAUGACUGCCCUAUGGGUUGUAAACUUCUUUUAUAUGGGAAUACAACAGGGUAUGCAUACCCUCUUGUAUGUACCAUAUGAAUAAGGAUCGGCUAACUUCGUGCCAGCAGCCGCGGUAAUACGGAGGAUACGAGCGUGAUCCGGAUUUAUUGGGUUUAAAGGGAGCGUAGGUGGAUUGUUAAGUCAGUUGUGAAAGUUCGCGGCUCAACCGUGAAAGUGCAGUUGAAACUGGCAGUCUUGAGUACAGUAGAGGUGAGCGGAAUUCGUGGUGUAGCGGUGAAAUGCGUAGAUAUCACGAAGAACACCGGUUGCGAAGGCAGCUCACUGGACUGCAACUGACACUGAUGCGCGAAAGCGUGGGUAGCGAACGGGAUUAGAUACCCCUGUAGUC